GAACCCUAGGAUAGGCGGGAUUACCCGCUGAAUUUAAGCAUA
RNAcentral lists this ribosomal RNA (42 nucleotides) under Begonia palmata. Its description in RNAcentral is "partial 28S ribosomal RNA". The record is from RNAcentral. Lineage: Eukaryota; Viridiplantae; Streptophyta; Magnoliopsida; Cucurbitales; Begoniaceae.